CUACGGGUUGCAGCAGUCAGGAAUUUUGGACGAUGGGCGAAAGCCUGAUCCAGCAACGCCGCGUGGAGGACGAAGGUUUUAGGAUUGUAAACUCCUUUUAGAGGGGACGAAAAAAAUGACGGUACCCUCAGAAAAAGCCACGGCUAACUACGUGCCAGCAGCCGCGGUAAUACGUAGGUGGCGAGCGUUACUCGGAAUUACUAGGCGUAAAGCGCAUGUAGGUGGUUUAAUAAGUCUGUGGUGAAAUUUCUCGGCUCAACCGAGGAGCUGCCAUGGAAACUAUUAGACUUGAGUGUGAGAGGGGAAGACGGAAUUCCUGGUGUAGCGGUGGAAUGCGUAGAUAUCAGGAGGAACACCGAUGGCGAAAGCGGUCUUCUGGCUCAAUACUGACACUGAGAUGCGAAAGCUAGGGUAGCAAACAGGAUUAGAUACCCUCGUAGUC
This 442-nucleotide ribosomal RNA is filed under the name uncultured bacterium. RNAcentral's name for it is "partial 16S ribosomal RNA". It matches the Rfam family "Bacterial small subunit ribosomal RNA", at positions 339 to 795 of the family's 1533-position model. The record is from RNAcentral.